Molecule: signal recognition particle RNA, 300 nt
Filed under: Callithrix jacchus (white-tufted-ear marmoset)
Lineage: Eukaryota; Metazoa; Chordata; Mammalia; Primates; Cebidae
Description: Metazoan signal recognition particle RNA (ENSCJAG00000084579.1)
Rfam family: Metazoan signal recognition particle RNA
About the family: The signal recognition particle (SRP) is a universally conserved ribonucleoprotein.
Source: Rfam by way of RNAcentral
GCUGGGCGCGGUGGCACAUGCCUGUAGUCCCAGCUACUCAGGAGGCUGAGGUGGGAGGAUCACUUGAGCCCAGGAGUUCUGGGCUGUAGUGCGCUAUGCCGAUCCGGUGUCCGCACUAAGUUCGGCAUCAAUAUGGUGACCUCCCGGGAGCAGAGGACCACCAGGUUGCCUAAGGAGGGGUGAACCAGCCCAGGUCGGCAAUGGAGCAGGUCAAAACUCCCGUGCUGAUCAGUAGUGGGAUUAUGCCUGUGAAUAGCCACUGUACUCCAGCCUGGGCAACAUAGGGAGACCCUAUCUCUA